This 253-nucleotide ribosomal RNA is filed under the name uncultured bacterium. RNAcentral's name for it is "partial 16S ribosomal RNA". It matches the Rfam family "Bacterial small subunit ribosomal RNA", at positions 524 to 776 of the family's 1533-position model. The record is from RNAcentral.
UACAGAGGUCUCAAGCGUUGUUCGGAAUUAUUGGGCGUAAAGCGCGCGCAGGCGGUUUCUUAAGUCUGAUGUGAAAGCCCACGGCUCAACCGUGGAGGGUCAUUGGAAACUGGGGAACUUGAGUGCAGAAGAGAAGAGCGGAAUUCCACGUGUAGCGGUGAAAUGCGUAGAGAUGUGGAGGAACACCAGUGGCGAAGGCGGCUCUUUGGUCUGUAACUGACGCUGAGGCGCGAAAGCGUGGGGAGCAAACAGG